AUUGAACGCUGGCGGCAGGCCUAACACAUGCAAGUCGAGCGAGCGGCGGACGGGUGAGUCAUGUAUGGGGACUGCCCGAUAGAGGGGGAUAACUACUGGAAACGGUGGCUAAUACCGCAUACAGUCGGAUAACCGAUAUGGGAUUAGCUAGUAGGUAAGGUAAUGGUUGACCUAGGCCACGAUCCCUAGCUGGUCGGAGAGGAUGAUCAGCCACACUGGAACUGAUACACGGCCCAGACUCCUACGGAGGCAGCAGUGGGGAAUAUUGCACAAUGGGCGCAAGCCUGAUGCAGCCAUGCCGCGUGUAUGAAGAAGGCCCUAGGGUUGUAAAGUACUUUCAGUCGGGAGGCGUUACCGACAGAAGAAGCACCGGCUAACUCCGUGCCAGCAGCCGCGGUAAUUC
RNAcentral lists this ribosomal RNA (403 nucleotides) under uncultured bacterium. Its description in RNAcentral is "partial 16S ribosomal RNA". It matches the Rfam family "Bacterial small subunit ribosomal RNA", at positions 30 to 526 of the family's 1533-position model. The record is from RNAcentral.